GCAGCGGUAUCGAAGUGGUCAUAACGGACAUGACUCGAAAUCAUGAUGCCCCCUUGAGGGGACGUGGGUUCGAAUCCCACCCGCUGCGCCA
This 91-nucleotide transfer RNA is filed under the name Oscillospiraceae bacterium. RNAcentral describes it as "tRNA-Ser". It matches the Rfam family "tRNA". Rfam says of the family: Transfer RNA (tRNA) molecules are approximately 80 nucleotides in length. Lineage: Bacteria; Bacillati; Bacillota; Clostridia; Eubacteriales; Oscillospiraceae. The record is from RNAcentral.